AAAAACAACAAAAUUAAUAUAAAUUCACAGAGUGUGUGUCAGUGAUCAUCUGUAAUCGAGAGCAGAGACUCAUCUACUGUAUUCCCAGACCCAUCAGUACGUACAGGGGCACGUGACAUACAACAGAACUUUAUCCAGCAAAUGUUGGAGGAUCAUCACAUGUAUCUCUGUAGUUUUUAUGUGAUACUCCACACAGAGGACAAAGUCUGCUGGAUAUCUGAAUAAAUGUGUCAAAAGUUCUGAAGA
Thalassophryne amazonica is the source of this 246-nucleotide long non-coding RNA. RefSeq lists it as uncharacterized. The record is from RefSeq and is a predicted model, not a curated record. The transcript has 3 exons. NCBI's taxonomy places the organism in Eukaryota, Metazoa, Chordata, Actinopteri, Batrachoidiformes, Batrachoididae.